CCUACGGGAGGCAGCAGUGAGGAAUAUUGGUCAAUGGGCGGAAGCCUGAACCAGCCACGUCGCGUGAGGGAUUAAGGCCCUGCGGGUCGUAAACCGCUUUUGCCGGGGAGCAGAGGUCCGGACGUGUCCGGGCCGGGAGAGUACCCGCAGAAAAAGCAUCGGCUAACUCCGUGCCAGCAGCCGCGGUAAGAAGGAGGAUGCGAGCUUUAUCCGGAUUUAUUGGGUUAAAAGGGUGCGUAGGCGGGCGUUUAGGCCGGCGGUCAAAUGUCGGGGCUCAACCCCGGCCUGCCGUCGGAACUGGGUGCAUUGAGUGUGCGAGAAGUAUGCGGAAUGCGUGGUGUAGCGGUGAAAUGCAUAGAUAUCACGCAGAACCCCGAUUGCGAAGGCAGCAUACCGGCGCCCUACUGACGCUGAGGCACGAAAGUGCGGGUAUCGAACAGGAUUAGAUACCCGUGUAGUC
RNAcentral lists this ribosomal RNA (460 nucleotides) under uncultured bacterium. Its description in RNAcentral is "partial 16S ribosomal RNA". It matches the Rfam family "Bacterial small subunit ribosomal RNA", at positions 338 to 795 of the family's 1533-position model. The record is from RNAcentral.